GGGAUAUCUUUUUUGAAGAGAGAGAAUCAGUUCACAUCAUUUUACUGUUUUGCAGCACUUUCGGUAAUAUUUAAACUUUUAAAUGAUCUUAUGCUAUAGAGAUGGGUGAGAGAAUAUUCCCCAUUCACAUUUAUGCAACUCAAGAUAUGUUACUAUUUGUAGCAUGCUAGAUACAAUGGGUAAUAUUGAGGUUGCCUACUAUAUUUUUUUUUCUACCUUGAUAUUAAGACAUAGUAUGGGAUAGUUUGAUUCCUGUUCUCUUUCUUCUUUUUGUCUAAGACAGCUCAUCUUCACUGAAAUGUGAAUGAUCU
Molecule: unclassified non-coding RNA, 311 nt
Filed under: Hevea brasiliensis (rubber tree)
Lineage: Eukaryota; Viridiplantae; Streptophyta; Magnoliopsida; Malpighiales; Euphorbiaceae
Source: RNAcentral